GGAGGUAUAGCUCAGUGGUAGAGUGCAUGCUUAGCAGGCGUGAGGUCCUGGGUUCUGUCCCCAGAACCUCCA
Molecule: transfer RNA, 72 nt
Filed under: Camelus dromedarius (Arabian camel)
Lineage: Eukaryota; Metazoa; Chordata; Mammalia; Artiodactyla; Camelidae
Also listed under: 1 other name
Rfam family: tRNA
About the family: Transfer RNA (tRNA) molecules are approximately 80 nucleotides in length. Their secondary structure includes four short double-helical elements and three loops (D, anti-codon, and T loops).
Source: Rfam by way of RNAcentral